UCAGACACACGAUCAUCUUUAACCUAUCGACACCCAGCAUCACGAUGUACAGGGCCGUCAGUGUUUACUGGAUCUCUGUUCUCCUGGUGCCCAGUGUGGUUUCAGCUCAGCAGUUGUCAGCUCGUGUAGUUAAUGGCACAGCAGACGCAGGACGUCUAGAGAUAUUGUACGAUGGAACUUGGAGCACAGUGUGUGACGAUGAAUUUGGACAGAGAGAGGCCUUGGUAGCCUGCAGGAUGCUAGGAUUUAACAGCACAACAGCAGCAGCCGUGGGGACAUCCAAGUACGGAGCAGGCUCUGGUGAUAUUCUGUUCAGUAAACUACAGUGUGUGGGGCACGAAACCAGCCUGGCGCAAUGUCGACACUCGGGGCUCUACAUUCACAACUGUGAUCACUCAGAGGAUGUCGGCGUCAUGUGCAACAUCACUCAGCAGAUGUCAGCUCGUGUAGUUGGUGGCACAGCAGCCGCAGGACGUCUAGAGAUAUUGUACGAUGGAACUUGGAGCACAGUGUGUGACGAUGGAUUUGGACAGAGAGAGGCCUUGGUAGCCUGCAGGAUGCUGGGAUUUAACAGCACAACAGCAGAAGCCGUGGGGACAGCCAAGUACGGAGCAGGCUCUGGUCGUAUUCUGUUCGAUGACCUGCGGUGUGUGGGGAACGAAACCAGCCUGGCGCAGUGUGAACACUGGGGGCUGUACACACACAACUGUGAACACUUAGAGGAUGUCGGCGUCAUGUGCAACAUCACUGACCAGAUGACAGCACGUCUGGCUGGCGGGACUUCACAGGCAGGACGUCUAGAGAUAUUUUUCAACAGAGAAUGGAGCACAGUGUGUGACAAUCAGUUUGGACAGAAAGAGGCUGAGGUAGCUUGCAACAUGCUAGGAUUCAAAACUGGUGGAGCAGCAGCUGUCAGCCCCCGUAGAUAUGGACGAGGUUCAGGUCACAUUCUGCUUAAUAACGUGAACUGCCAGGGAACAGAAACCAGUCUAGCACAAUGUCAGCAUCACCCCCUGUACACCAGCGGCUGUGAUCACUCGAACGACGUUGGCGUCGUCUGUAACAUCACCAACAAUAUGUCUGCGCGGUGGUUCACGGUACAUCUGCGGCGGGGACACUUGAGAUCUUUUUUAACGAGGAAUGGACUACAGUGUGUGACACAUGGUUUGGACAGGAAGAGGCGCAGGUAGCCUGCAGGAUGUUAGGAUUCAACAGUACUGGAGCAGCAGCUGUGAGUUUAGUUGUAUACGGAGCAGGGUCAGGCAACAUUUUGCUCGAUGGCCUAAACUGCAAAGGAACAGAAACUAGUUUGGAAUUCUGCUCUCACAAAAUGCUUUAUGAACACUCCUGCAAGCAUUCGAAUGAUGUUGGUAUCGUCUGCGACAUAGACCUACGUUUGACUGGCACUAGUCGCACCAGACAAGACCUGGGCCUUGUAGAGAUGAAGAUCGGGAGCACGUGGCAAGCUGUUUGCGUGUCUGACGUCACGACGACAGUAAGCGUGC
RNA transcript from Pomacea canaliculata, 1505 nucleotides. It is a transcript of the gene named deleted in malignant brain tumors 1 protein-like, with no coding region annotated. Lineage: Eukaryota; Metazoa; Mollusca; Gastropoda; Architaenioglossa; Ampullariidae. The transcript has 10 exons. The record is from RefSeq and is a predicted model, not a curated record.